This 335-nucleotide ribosomal RNA is filed under the name uncultured bacterium. RNAcentral describes it as "bacterial SSU rRNA". It matches the Rfam family "Bacterial small subunit ribosomal RNA", at positions 1 to 339 of the family's 1533-position model. The record is from RNAcentral.
GUCUCACAGUUUGAUCCUGGCUCAGAUUGAACGCUGGCGGCAUGCUUUACACAUGCAAGUCGAACGGCAGCACGGGGGCGAACCCUGGUGGCGAGUGGCGAACGGGUGAGUAAUACAUCGGAACGUAUCCUUAAGUGGGGGAUAACGCACCGAAAGGUGUGCUAAUACCGCAUAAUCUCCAAGGAGAAAAGCAGGGGAUCGCAAGACCUUGCGCUUUUGGAGCGGCCGAUGUCUGAUUAGCUAGUUGGUGAGGUAAAGGCUUACCAAGGCGUCGAUCAGUAGCUGGUCUGAGAGGACGACCAGCCACACUGGGACUGAGACACGGCCCAGACUCC